RNAcentral lists this ribosomal RNA (449 nucleotides) under uncultured bacterium. RNAcentral describes it as "partial 16S ribosomal RNA". It matches the Rfam family "Bacterial small subunit ribosomal RNA", at positions 29 to 523 of the family's 1533-position model. The record is from RNAcentral.
AACGAACGCUGGCGGCAUGCCUAACACAUGCAAGUCGAACGAAGCCUUCGGGCUUAGUGGCGCACGGGUGCGUAACGCGUGGGAAUCUGCCCUUGGGUUCGGAAUAACAGUUAGAAAUGACUGCUAAUACCGGAUGAUGUUUUCGGACCAAAGAUUUAUCGCCCAAGGAUGAGCCCGCGUAGGAUUAGGUAGUUGGUGGGGUAAUGGCCCACCAAGCCGACGAUCCUUAACUGGUCUGAGAGGAUGAUCAGCCAAACUGGGACUGAGACACGGCCCAGACUCCUACGGGAGGCAGCAGUGGGGAAUAUUGGACAAUGGGCGAAAGCCUGAUCCAGCAAUGCCGCGUGAGUGAUGAAGGCCUUAGGGUUGUAAAGCUCUUUUACCAGGGAUGAUAAUGACAGUACCUGGAGAAUAAGCUCCGGCUAACUCCGUGCCAGCCGCCGCGGUAA